GACGAACGCUGGCGGCGUGCUUAACACAUGCAAGUCGAACUGAAAGGCCCUGCUUUUGUGGGGUGCUCGAGUGGCGAACGGGUGAGUAACACGUGAGUAACCUGCCCUUGACUUUGGGAUAACUUCAGUAAACUGGGGCUAAUACCGGAUAGGAGCUCCUGCUGCAUGGUGGGGGUUGGAAAGUUUCGGCGGUUGGGGAUGGACUCGCGGCUUAUCAGCUUGUUGGUGGGGUAGUGGCUUACCAAGGCUUUGACGGGUAGCCGGCCUGAGAGGGUGACCGGCCACAUUGGGACUGAGAUACGGCCCAGACUCCUACGGGAGGCAGCAGUGGGGAAUAUUGCACAGUGGGCGGAAGCCUGAUGCAGCAACGCCGCGUGCGGGAUGACGGCCUUCGGGUUGUAAACCGCUUUCGCCUGUGACGAAGCGUGAGUGACGGUAAUGGGUAAAGAAGCACCGGCUAACUACGUG
Molecule: ribosomal RNA, 468 nt
Filed under: uncultured bacterium
Lineage: Bacteria
Description: partial 16S ribosomal RNA
Rfam family: Bacterial small subunit ribosomal RNA
Source: RNAcentral